RNAcentral lists this ribosomal RNA (484 nucleotides) under uncultured bacterium. Its description in RNAcentral is "partial 16S ribosomal RNA". It matches the Rfam family "Bacterial small subunit ribosomal RNA", at positions 30 to 507 of the family's 1533-position model. The record is from RNAcentral.
AUUGAACGCUGGCGGCAGGCCUAACACAUGCAAGUCGAGCGGAUGAAGGGAGCUUGCUCCUGGAUUCAGCGGCGGACGGGUGAGUAAUGCCUAGGAAUCUGCCUGGUAGUGGGGGAUAACGUCCGGAAACGGGCGCUAAUACCGCAUACGUCCUGAGGGAGAAAGUGGGGGAUCUUCGGACCUCACGCUAUCAGAUGAGCCUAGGUCGGAUUAGCUAGUUGGUGGGGUAAAGGCCUACCAAGGCGACGAUCCGUAACUGGUCUGAGAGGAUGAUCAGUCACACUGGAACUGAGACACGGUCCAGACUCCUACGGGAGGCAGCAGUGGGGAAUAUUGGACAAUGGGCGAAAGCCUGAUCCAGCCAUGCCGCGUGUGUGAAGAAGGUCUUCGGACUGUAAAGCAUUUUAAGUUGGGAGGAAGGGCAGUAAGUUAAUACCUUGCUGUUUUGACGUUACCAACAGAAUAAGCACCGGCUAACUUCGUG